AGGAGGUGGUCUGGAUAUAUGCAUUAUGAACAGGUUGUAAUAGAACAUAAGCCGUAAUACAUAGACAAACAUGGUAGUGUGUUAAGGUGUUCCAGGAGAGAGGUUGGGGGUUGAGUGGCUGGUUACAGAAAGACCCCAGCCUAAGUUACCCAGGAAGGUUAGGAAGGAGGUAAACUACCAGGGAGCUAGCUGUGAGGAGAGGUGCUGCUGAGGGGAGGGGAGAGGUGCUGCUGAGGGGAGAGGAGAGGUGCUGCUGAGGGGAGAGGAGAGCAGGAGGAGAGGAGAGGUGCUGCUGAGGGGAGAGGAGAGGUGCUGCUGAGAGGAGAGGAGACAGGAAAUAGCUAGCGGGCGCAGUGUGUGUUAUGACAACCCGGGCACACUACAGGGAGAUGGGGGCAGGAAGAGACAGGUAGUUAGUUAUAUUGGGAGCAGGAGAGGUGAGGAUUGAAGAAGGCAGGAAACGGCUGUGUUUGGUGCCGCAUGGCCGCUCGUUUUGUUGACUAACCUUGACGGCA
Long non-coding RNA from Oncorhynchus tshawytscha (Chinook salmon), 515 nucleotides. Lineage: Eukaryota; Metazoa; Chordata; Actinopteri; Salmoniformes; Salmonidae. The record is from Ensembl.